RNAcentral lists this ribosomal RNA (512 nucleotides) under uncultured bacterium. RNAcentral's name for it is "partial 16S ribosomal RNA". It matches the Rfam family "Bacterial small subunit ribosomal RNA", at positions 29 to 523 of the family's 1533-position model. The record is from RNAcentral.
AACGAACGCUGGCGGUGUGCCUAACACAUGCAAGUCGAGCGCAAAAAGGGCAACCUGAGUAGAGCGGCGCACGGGUGCGUAACACGUGGGUAAUCUGCCUUAGAGUCGAGGAUAACCUUCCGAAAGGUUGGCUAAUACUCGGUAAGCUUACGGUGUCUUCGGACGCUGUGGGAAAAGUAGGCCUCUGUUUACAAGCUUACGCUCUGAGAUGAGCCCGCGGCCCAUCAGCUAGUUGGCGGUGUAACGGACCACCAAGGCAACGACGGGUAGCUGGUCUGAGAGGACGAUCAGCCACACUGGAACUGAGACACGGUCCAGACUCCUACGGGAGGCAGCAGUGGGGAAUUUUCCACAAUGGGCGAAAGCCUGAUGGAGCAACGCCGCGUGUGUGAUGAAGGUUUUCGGAUCGUAAAGCACUUUCGACCGGACGAAAAACCUCUGGCUAACAUCCAGGGGCCUGACGGUACCGGGAGAAGAAGCACCGGCUAACUCUGUGCCAGCCGCCGCGGUAA